GUAGUCAUCGUCGUUUGAGCCUUCUUGGUAUGGGUUUGUGCAAAAUACAAGACCCAGCUUAAAGCUGGACCCAUACAAAUUACGCCUAAGAGCGAGAAUAACAAGCUCGAAUAACAAAUCACCAUAAUGUUGUAAUCAUCAUGCAAAAAUCGCAGUGACAGCAACAGCGCCUAACCAAAACACCAUCCUUCAACAUUUCUAUGAUCUUUUUUUUUUUUCCUUCAGCUUUUGUAUAGCCUUUAAUUGACUUGGUAGAAAAUUCAGUUGAAUGAGUUGGUGAUUACACACGCAGUUAUCAAAUAGUUAAAGUAGUAAAGUUACAACACACACUGCGUGAAUACAAAUACAAUUUUAAGCAUAUGAUCAAAAAUGAUUAGUUUUCAAAACGGCAUGAAUUUAGCAUUAUUAAAUCUUGAACUAUUAAUAAAAAAAACUCUUUAAGCAAUAUUCCAAUUAAAAUCUCGCUUUCAAGAAUCAAAAGAAAUUUCUUAUAGUUUUCAGAAAUUAAUUAUAGUAGUAUCAAAUGUCUAAAGAUAUAGCCAUAUAUACAUCACAUAUGGAUUUGUUCAAACAAAAUUAAGCUUGUCGGUAAACACGAACAUCGCAACGUGUAAAAAAACGAAACGUUGAACACCAGGUACAACUUUCCAGACAAAUAACGCUUAGCAUGAAAAGUCCUAUUCCUAAGAAAGAUAAAAAUUGUUGUUAUGGUCUAUACCGCUGAUCAAACGCACUUCCCACCUCCGCUUUUCCCAAGGAGCGAAGCUAGCGUGUGUUUCGACAUUAUAUGAAAUGUUACAUAGAUAAGGUAAACAAAUUUAGACGGCCGACAAUAUUAACUUUGCAAUGUCUAGGUCCACACCCACGUCAAGUCGUCACAUCAAGAUCCACACCCUACUUUUAAAAAAUGACUGUUCUGCUUCCAGUCUAAAAUCCUGGCCUGGCAAGUUCAUUAACUUUGAAACUGUAAGGCGACAUAAUCGGCAAAUAAACUGCAUUACAAAUACUCGUAUUCCAUUGCACCGCUAACGAAAGCAAAAAAGAAACAAUUAAAUCGAUAGCAAGUUCUUGUUUGGCAACAGUCAUGAUAGAUUUUAUAAUGGCAUAUUUCCUGGUCUGCACGGUCUUGGUUCUAUUUUUUAUGCUUUAUACUCGGAUGCAGCAGAGCUUCUGACGGACGGACGGAAUUUUAAAUUGUUUUUGAUCCCAUAAACCGGCCAUCGCUCAAAAUCCUUUCGCUUUUGUAAAAUUAGGUUAACUAAUAAUAGAAAAUAAUUCAAUGAUUA
Daphnia magna is the source of this 1286-nucleotide long non-coding RNA. RefSeq lists it as uncharacterized. The transcript is spliced from 2 exons. NCBI's taxonomy places the organism in Eukaryota, Metazoa, Arthropoda, Branchiopoda, Diplostraca, Daphniidae. The record is from RefSeq and is a predicted model, not a curated record.